AACGAACGCUGGCGGCAUGCCUAACACAUGCAAGUCGAACGAGACCUUCGGGCACGGUUGCUCACGCGUGUGUAACGCGUGGGAACCUGCCCUUAGGUUCGGAAUAACUCCCCGAAAGGGGUGCUAAUGCCGGAAAAUUUCUCCGGACCCAGGUUUUAUCGCCUUGGGGUGGGCCCGCGUUGUACUUGCUUGUUGGUAGGGUAAAAGCCCACCAAGGCAGCGAUCCAUAGCUGGUCUGAGAGGAGGCUCAGCCACACUGGGACUGAGACACGUCCCGGACAGUGACGAGAGGCAGCAGGGGGAAAUAAUGAACAAUGGGCGAAGGAAUGAAGCACCCGGGCCGCGUAAGUGGUGAAGGACUUAGGGAAGUAAGCCUCUUAUACCCGGGAUGAUAAUGACAGUACCGAGAGAGUAGGCUCCGCCGAGCUCCGU
Molecule: ribosomal RNA, 432 nt
Filed under: uncultured bacterium
Lineage: Bacteria
Description: partial 16S ribosomal RNA
Rfam family: Bacterial small subunit ribosomal RNA
Source: RNAcentral